GUGGGGAAUAUUGCACAAUGGGGGAAACCCUGAUGCAGCGACGCCGCGUGGAGGAAGAAGGUCUUCGGAUUGUAAACUCCUGUCGUUGGGGACGAUAAUGACGGUACCCAACAAGAAAGCCACGGCUAACUACGUGCCAGCAGCCGCGGUAAAACGUAGGUGGCAAGCGUUGUCCGGAAUUACUGGGUGUAAAGGGAGCGCAGGCGGAAGGACAAGUUGGAAGUGAAACCCACGGGCUCAACCCGUGAACUGCUUUCAAAACUGUUUUUCUUGAGUGGUGUAGAGGUAGGCGGAAUUCCCGGUGUAGCGGUGGAAUGCGUAGAUAUCGGGAGGAACACCAGUGGCGAAGGCGGCCUACUGGGCACUAACUGACGCUGAGGCUCGAAAGCAUGGGUAGCAAACAGGAUUAGAUACCCCAGUAGUCC
Molecule: ribosomal RNA, 425 nt
Filed under: uncultured bacterium
Lineage: Bacteria
Description: bacterial SSU rRNA
Rfam family: Bacterial small subunit ribosomal RNA
Source: RNAcentral